RNAcentral lists this signal recognition particle RNA (98 nucleotides) under Magnetococcales bacterium. RNAcentral's name for it is "signal recognition particle sRNA small type". It matches the Rfam family "Bacterial small signal recognition particle RNA". Rfam says of the family: The signal recognition particle (SRP) is a universally conserved ribonucleoprotein involved in the co-translational targeting of proteins to membranes. Archaeal SRP consists of a 7S RNA and homologues of the eukaryotic SRP19 and SRP54 proteins. In most bacteria, the SRP consists of a 4.5S RNA and the Ffh protein (a homologue of the eukaryotic SRP54 protein). The record is from RNAcentral. Lineage: Bacteria; Pseudomonadati; Pseudomonadota; Magnetococcia; Magnetococcales.
GAUCAGGGCCCACGCAACGGAAACCCGUGAACCCCGUCAGGACCGGAAGGUAGCAGCGGCAGCGGGAGCUUUCGUGUGCCGUGGUCUCCCUGAUCGGA